GCCUCAGGGAUAGCUCAGUUGAUAAGAGCAUGAGAUUAUUAAUCUCAGGGUCUUGGGUUUGACCUCCCUGUUGGGCA
Podarcis lilfordi (Lilford's wall lizard) is the source of this 77-nucleotide non-coding RNA. The record is from the annotation of a GenBank genome assembly. NCBI's taxonomy places the organism in Eukaryota, Metazoa, Chordata, Lepidosauria, Squamata, Lacertidae.